RNAcentral lists this ribosomal RNA (610 nucleotides) under Bacillus mycoides. RNAcentral describes it as "bacterial SSU rRNA". It matches the Rfam family "Bacterial small subunit ribosomal RNA", at positions 56 to 646 of the family's 1533-position model. Lineage: Bacteria; Bacillati; Bacillota; Bacilli; Caryophanales; Bacillaceae. The record is from RNAcentral.
UGCAAGUCGAGCGAAUGGAUUAAGAGCUUGCUCUUAUGAAGUUAGCGGCGGACGGGUGAGUAACACGUGGGUAACCUGCCCAUAAGACUGGGAUAACUCCGGGAAACCGGGGCUAAUACCGGAUAACAUUUUGCACCACAUGGUGCGAAAUUGAAAGGCGGCUUCGGCUGUCACUUAUGGAUGGACCCGCGUCGCAUUAGCUAGUUGGUGAGGUAACGGCUCACCAAGGCAACGAUGCGUAGCCGACCUGAGAGGGUGAUCGGCCACACUGGGACUGAAACACGGCCCCUACUCCUACGGGAGGCAGCAGUAGGGAAUCUUCCGCAAUGGACGAAAGUCUGACGGAGCAACGCCGCGUGAGUGAUGAAGGCUUUCGGGUCGUAAAACUCUGUUGUUAGGGAAGAACAAGUGCUAGUUGAAUAAGCUGGCACCUUGACGGUACCUAACCAGAAAUUCACGGCUAACUACGUGCCAGCAGCCGCGGUAAUACGUAGGUGGCAAGCGUUAUCCGGAAUUAUUGGGCGUAAAUUUCGCGCAGGUGGUUUCUUAAUUCUGAUGUGAAAGCCCACGGCUCAACCGUGGAGGGUCAUUGGAAACUGGAAGACUUGAA